UACGAAGGGGGCUAGCGUUGUUCGGAGUUACUGGGCGUAAAGGGCGCGUAGGCGGCCGAUCAAGUCGGGGGUGAAAGCCUGUGGCUCAACCACAGAAUUGCCUUCGAUACUGUUUGGCUUGAGACCGGAAGAGGUUAGUGGAACUGCGAGUGUAGAGGUGAAAUUCGUAGAUAUUCGCAAGAACACCAGUGGCGAAGGCGGCUGACUGGUCCGGUUCUGACGCUGAGGCGCGAAAGCGUGGGGAGCAAACAGG
Molecule: ribosomal RNA, 253 nt
Filed under: uncultured bacterium
Lineage: Bacteria
Description: partial 16S ribosomal RNA
Rfam family: Bacterial small subunit ribosomal RNA
Source: RNAcentral